GUAUCAUAACAGCACACAGAUUCUCAAAGCACAGUCACUCACCAGUCACCACACUAUUGUAUACCUUCUCUUCUCUUCCCGUUUUUCUUCAUUUGGCAAAGUGAAUACACUCAAAGUUCUUCAACGAAAUUCUCUCAUCAUAGGUACAGAUCCGACGACCUCUGGAUAUUGAUCCCUGUGAUUCUUUCUUCGCUAACAUCAUCGGAGAUUUGAGGCUGAUACAAAACAAUGGGGUAUAUAUACAUCCAAGGAGCCUCAACUUAUACAGGCUGAUACAAAACAAUGGGGUAUAUAUACACCCAAGGAGUCAUUGAGGACUAGUCCACAACUACAAGAUGGUAAGGCUGUCACUCUUGAUGACAAGAAACAAAGAGCUCUCUUUUACUACUUUGUGGAAGCAGAAACAGACCACAUUUCUAAGCCUUUUGUUUUGUGGAUCAAUGGAGGUUGAUAUUAGAUUAGCACCUGGGACUUGUGCUAUGGAAGCUGCAGGCAAUCUAUCCAUCUCUCUGUAUUGGAUGUUGUCACCAAUCACCCUCUAACCGCUGAUAAAAGACAAAUCUUGGAGCUCCAAUUCUUAAGCUGUCACUCUCCUGGACUUUCUCCUAAUUGAAACCACCUAGGCAUGCAUUUCUCACUUCCUUUUUGAGUUCACAAAAGGGCACGUUCCUUUUAACAUGGCACAUCAAAUUAUAUGCUCAUAUUUUUUUAAUCUUUUCUGUUUAUUAGAUCAUCCGAUUUUUCUUCCAUGAUUUAUUUGCUGAGAUAUAUCUUUUGAUUUUUAUUUUUGAAUUUGUAAAUAUACCCAAGGGUUGAAGUGAGACAACAAAAAGAAGAUGACCAGUAUCUGCAUACCAAUGAAAGAUUACGUGAUGAGCAAUCAGAGCAAUCACAUUUAAGAGAGAUAUAAGAACGGUGCUGCGAAGAUUUUCAAUCAUAAGUUUUCAAAACACAGCAACAUCUAAGAUGGUACCAACCUUAACUGAAGUUGGACAAGAUUCCUAAGUCGAAUGACUAAUAUGUGGGUUCUUUACGGCUGGUACAGUGGACUCAACAUCAGAGAAUGCUAUAAUAAUUGUUCAGCGAUCAACUUUUGUAGCAAUUCACUCUGUCUUUCUGAUGAUUCACCCAUGAAGUUAUAGUUUUUUUGAUCAUGUUUGAAUUUUACUCUCCUAUAAAAGGGAGUUCGAAAGCGGGUCAACAUGUUUCCUUGUGCUGUCAGUUUCAGUUCAAUCGUUUUAAUUAUUAUGUCAAUUAUGUAUUAAAAAAUUAAUAAUAUUUAAUACAAACAAGUAAAAUUAAUAUUUUUGACAUGUA
Molecule: long non-coding RNA, 1317 nt
Organism: Capsicum annuum
Lineage: Eukaryota; Viridiplantae; Streptophyta; Magnoliopsida; Solanales; Solanaceae
Exons: 5
Source: RefSeq, a predicted model, not a curated record